This 391-nucleotide ribosomal RNA is filed under the name uncultured bacterium. RNAcentral's name for it is "bacterial SSU rRNA". It matches the Rfam family "Bacterial small subunit ribosomal RNA", at positions 30 to 420 of the family's 1533-position model. The record is from RNAcentral.
AUUGAACGCUGGCGGCAUGCCUUACACAUGCAAGUCGAACGGCAGCGGACCUUCGGGUGCCGGCGAGUGGCGAACGGGUGAGUAAUAUAUCGGAACGUACCUUUCAGUGGGGGAUAACGUAGCGAAAGUUACGCUAAUACCGCAUAUUCUGUGAGCAGGAAAGCAGGGGAUCGCAAGACCUUGCGCUGAUUGAGCGGCCGAUAUCAGAUUAGCUAGUUGGUGAGGUAAAGGCUCACCAAGGCGACGAUCUGUAGCGGGUCUGAGAGGAUGAUCCGCCACACUGGAACUGAGACACGGUCCAGACUCCUACGGGAGGCAGCAGUGGGGAAUUUUGGACAAUGGGCGGCAAGACCUCGAUCCAGCCAUGCCGCGUGAGUGAAGAAGGCCUCGU